GUAGACCAGGAGAGGGCUCUUAAAGUGGGGAAGUUUAAGGGACUCUCUAGAGAAAGUUGGGGUCUCCCUUGUAGUCAGGAGCCCUACGUGACUGUAAGGGCAGCUUCGUGUAACACCCUAACCCUGAGAUGGGGCUCUGCUCUCCAGGACCAGAGAGAAGAAAUGAAGAGCCUGGGCAUUAGGAGCGCGGGGAUCCGAAGUAGCCUCAGUCUCCUGUCACUGCCCCGUCACCAUGCUGGGGAAUCUCCGGGCCAGUAACCCAGCCCCCACCCCCUCCCACACACUCAGGGGCCGCUGGACAAAGACCUGACGGAGUGGGAGGGGCCUGCGGGCCAGCCCUCGGGCUCCGACCGCAGGAUCCUCUGGGACCCGAACCCACAAAUCUUGGCUUUUGCCCCCUACCCCCCAACCUCCCCAGAGCAGGCUGCUUGCUAUCCCUGCAGCCUCGACACCAGAGAGGACGGCCAAACGGGUGCCCGUCGGCUGCCCCAGCGGCUAGCCCCUACGGUGCCCGCCCCCUCCCCCCGGGAAGUGACCCUGGGCUCCCACGCACCCGCUCGGGUCUCUUGCCGGCCUUGCCCUCCGACCUCCGCUUAGUUGAACCCCGCGACCCGCAGCCCCCGCCCUCGCUGGCCCUCGCACGGCCCUGCGCCCGCGGACAAAGCUCCGGACACCCUGACCGAACAGUCACCACCCCCUGACCCCGGCCCGCCCGCGCGCUCCCGCGCCUGCCCCCGCCCGGGCCCGCGACGCGUACCUCGGCAUCCCGGCCGGGUCCUAGGUGAGUGUGCGCGGCCUGGGGGGGCGUCCGGCUCGGGGACCGGGGCGGGGGAGCGGGCCGAGGGCGACUGGCCGGGGCUGGGGGGCAGCGGCGCUCACCAUCCUGGAACCACUGCUGCUGCAGCUGCUGCGGCCACCGCGGCCGGGAGCGGGACUGGGCAGUGGGGGUGGCCGGACAAGGGGCGGCCCCGGCUCCCCCCGCAGGCAGGACCCCCACCCUGCCUCCCCUCUCCCGCCCCCAGCGCCCUCCCUCUCAGGCCCUCGCUCCCCUCCCCUUCCCCUGCUCCUCCCCUCCCGAGUGUCCCUCCCCCAACUCCCGCCCCUACUCCGGCCCUCUCCACCCCGCUCCUUCCCGCCCCGCCCCCACCUCCCCUGGGCUCACCCGGCCCCUCGGAGCCGCCCUCCCCGCCGGCCCCGCCCCUCGCCUCCCCUAGCUCUAAAAUAAAUUAGCCACAGAGGGGAAAAAGAGCAAAUGACCCUCGGUGUGGAGAGUGUCCUUGCGCCACUCUCAGGCCCGCCCGCCCGCCCCCGCCUUCCCCGGGCCGUCGGAGCGGGAAGUUGGGAUGGGGGUGGAGGGGGGAUGGAGGCCCGGCGGGCAAGUAGGGGUGGUUGAGCAGCCGGGGGAGGCGGGGAGGGCGGGAGCCCGGGGUUGUGCCGCCCGGAUCGCCGAGCGCGUCCGCUGGGUGUGAGCGGCUUCCUGGGUCGAAGGGCAAAAGGGAAGUCGACUGACCCGGGUUCGCUCCGUCCGCGAGCUGCUCAGGACCCCCUCUGUCACCAGGGCCCCUUUGCCAAAGCCGUGUUGACCCACGCUUACUUCCCCCGCCCCAGGUGAGCUGAGCACCUACUGCGUGCCGGACUCUGCUGCGCCGCCAGUCGGGACGCAGAGGGCAGGACGCAAAGCCAGGCAAGUCCACAGCUCCGCACCAAUGCCACCCGACUGCGGGAGGGUGGAGGGUGAAGGGAGAAGGGCAAGCCCUGGACGUAGGCAGCGGUCUGGGGUGUGACUUUUUAAACCGCGGGCUUCACUAGAGGGCUUCCCCUAGGAGGCGGCAUUCACACUGUGGGAAGCUGGAGAGAAUGUGAAGGAUGCGUCUGAAUCCUCUAGUCGGCUUAUUGGCAUCCAAAAGCAUUCAGUGAUUGCUGAGUUCAUUCAGCAGAUGCAUGUUGAGCUUCUACUUUGCGCCAAGCAUUGGGCUAGCUCUGGGGAUACCUAAGAGAAUCCAAAAGCACUGCCCUGCCCUGGUGAUACUCCUAGUCAAAGAGUCCUAGAGUCCUGCAGGCACAAAACUUUGCAUCACUGGGGAAAAAAAUCCAGGACCUCCCUUUGCCCGGAAGGCCGUCGGAGCAAGGGCUAUACUUAAGGUGAAAGGUCCAGAUAAAAUUCUGGAGAGACACUGAGCAUCCAGAAGGGUCCCAAGGACAUCAAUCUUUCCACCCAUGGGCAGUGCUCAAGUGCCCUCUUUUCUGAAGUGUUUUUAUUUUUUCCUUUUGGAGAGCAGCUCAUCCUGCCUGUCAGUAGAGCAAGACUGACCUUGUGGCCCUCACCACCCCUGACUCCCCGACUCCCAACAGGCUAUGUCCUUCAUUUAGCAGAACUCUAAACACUACCUUCUCCCUUCUAAUGAGAAGGAGGCUCGGCUCUGACAGACCUGGAGCACCUGGGUAAGUGCCAUUCACAGAAGGGGAAGACCCUCAAUAGCUCACUUUUUUUUUUUCCAGACCACAUAUGGGAAGCAAGACCAGCAUCAGGAAGGUUCUAGAACUCACUUUACCACCUCCAGAAUUCUCUCUUCUCCAAAUUCAUUCUCAAGACUUCACCACUGCACAGAGGAGGAAUAUGCUGAGGUUCAGAGUGCUGGGGCCCAGCUUCAGAAUCAGAAAGGCAGGAGGCUCAGCCACCAUCCUGGCUGAGCAGAACCCCCAAGCAGGAGGGAUAAUCCCAUGAUAACAACAGGAAGGAGCAGCUGGGAUCCAAUAUUUUUUUUUAUUUAUGGUGCAUCUGAGGCCCAGAGAGAAGUGACAUGUCUGAGGUUAUACAACAGAGUUGGACCUAGAAUCCACUAUAUACUUUCUAUCCCACUUGUCAGCUUCCUCAGGGGCCAGAGACAGGAGUUAAGAUAGAAGCCCUCAGCCCUCAGUAUUAGUGCCUUCCUGCUGGGACACCAAGCGUAGCAUUGCAAUGGAAGUGUCUGGGGGCAUAUGCCACCAGGCUCAAGGGCAGGGGUUGUGAUAGGAGUGGGGUUGGACUGAAGGGCCUGGCUUGAAGGACUUGCUGAUGUGCACCCUGGAGUUCUGUUUUACUUACCCUUCUGGAAAGAGAACCUCCCUGUGCAUGUAUGAAGGCCAAGGUUAAAGAUAAGGAAGGCCUUGCUUAUUCCAUGGUAGGACAGGUCAGUAUGCUAGAGAAGGCCUCUUUGGGACUCCAUCAGGUAAGGUCAGCAUCUUGGCAAUACUAAGUUGUUCUUUUUGCCAUGUUUUUCAUUAAAGGGGUUUAGUUAGCAGGUGGGGGUGAGAUUGGUCACUUCACCCCUCCACCCCUAUCCUGCAUCAGCACUCAGGCAGUGAAGUGUGCCUCUUCCUCUCUGAGCUCAUUAAAAUCCUGUUAAUACAUCAUCCUUCCUAAUCUGACAAAUACUCAGUCCUGGCAAAUGGCCUUGCACCAGAUCUCUACCUCCUGUCCUCUGGGCCAGGUCCUGGGAGUCUAAUCUCUGAGGACUACUGGCUAACCCUUCUUCUCAAGGCAAGGGAUCUGUGCCUUGAGAGCCCCUUGCUGAGGUCAUUGAGAUCAUCCCAGGGCAGGUCAAGUGCCCAGCAAUGGAUUGGAUAAUAAUAGUGGUAAUGAUGGCAUAAUGCCUGACUUCUAUGGAGGCCCCUCCAUUCAUUCCCAGCCCUUUUGCUUGUAUCACAUCAAAAAUAGAGAAUCCCACUCUCACCCUGCCCCAGGCGGCAGGGGCUGUGCCUGGAUGUGCAGCCAAGUGCCAUCCCAUGCAUAGGUGGGGGCAUAAGUAUUUGGGUAGGAGCCUGUGUGAAGUGUCAAACCUUCCUGGCCCAGAGACCAGCAACAGGCACUUUCCAAAACAUUCAGAAAAACAACCCGCUGGCUCAGGGAGAAUCCAUAUGAAGUGUUUUGGAGGGAGGGAGGAGAAAGAGGGAGGCAGUAGAAGCCAAAGUAAGGGAGGGAGGAACAGGUGGAGCAAAGAGGAAGGAAAUAAAAAAAUGGCCUCUGAGAGAGGAUAGGGGUAGAGAGAGGAAAGGGAAGGAAGAAAGAAAUGGAGGAAAGGCAGAGGAAAGGGCGGGGAGACCUCUCUUUGUGGCCGUGUAGCUGGCCACUCAGAAAUCAUUAUAGAAAAAAAAAAAAAAAAGAAAGAAAUCAUUAUAGGCAGGAAAGGAAGGAAAUGUGUCUUGGCCGGGGAACUGGGGUGUGUGCCCAAAGGACACCACACCCAGCUGGCUGCUACCCCCUGCAUGUUCGCCAGGGCCCAGGCUGCUCUCCCUACAAAUGGAAGCUCUAGCCCUUCUCCUGGCUGUUUGGGCUUCAAGACCCAAUUCCCAGGGCCUCUCCAACCCUGCUCAAUCCCACCCAACCCUUCCUGUUUAUGAACUGAUACCAGCUUUGUCUUCCCCUGGGUCACAGGUUGUGUCUGGGUCCAGUCCCCACCCCACAGCCAGCUGAGGGACCACUAGGAACCACUGUGAGAAUCAGGAAGAAUGCUCCUUCCUCUGCACAGAUCCACUUCUGUGCAAGGCCACUCAAGAUUUGGAGGAGGAGGUGGGACUGGCCAUCAGCCCCCACUUCACCUCUGUCAACCCAACACUUGGGGACCAUGAUAUCACACUUCCAAAGUCCUUACCCCACGCGGGCCCCUAAUGUUUAAUGUGAGUUCCUUAUAGUCCCACAGAACCUCUCACUAAAUACUCACCCCAUUCGAAUACCUGGGUCUCUGUGCCUGGAAUCUCAUUUCCCUACUCUACCCAGUGAACAUCUAUUCAUCCUUCAGAACCCAACUAGAUGUGCCCUCCUCUGUGAAGCCCCUGCCUGUCCCCCACCCCCUGCAAAGCCAGUAGCACCACCUCAGAGCCUAAUCCUACCUGUUCCCCAGAGUUCAUGGGUUGGUCCCAGAAUCCUGCUACCUAGAACCCACUGUCCCACCCCAACCCCAAAGGCAGAAUACGCCAUCAAAUCCUGUAUGACUUGUCCCCUAACUUGCCAGCCCCUCUGGAACCCCACUGGGAUUCUCCCCUCCCACAACCUUACAGAUUUAAGGCAGAAUGGGAAACUGGAAAUCCAAGUAGCCCAGAAGCUCCCCACCCCCACUCUGCCCUCACAGGAGCUGGUCCUGACCGAAGAUUCCCAGCACAUCUGGUUGUACUUAAAUCAUCCAGCACUGGACUGGGCUGCCUGGGCAGGUUCCCGCUUCUCUCCCUCCUGCCCUUGACUCCUCCCCUUCCUAGCCCAGCCUGCCAGCUCUCUCCUCCAGGAGGCCUUCCCUGACUGGCCUAGCCUCUGUACCUACACCCUUGACUAUCUCUCUGGGUUGAGGGUCUAGAGGGUGCACGCUCAGCAAGGCUUGGUGUGUGGGCCCCCAUCCUGCCUAAGCACUGAUCCUGUAUAGAAACCAUCCCUCCAGACAGGGAGGGGAGCCAACCAAGUUCCUCCCCUCUGCUCCCUUAAUCUCUAGGGUGGUUGCCCUCAGCAUCUGGUGGUGUAGCAGGGAGGGAAUCGGUUCCUUCAGUGCCUUGGUUCAGAUAGACAGCCAGCAGAUCCUGCUGCCGUCAUUGUCCAAAAGUCUCAUAAAAUAUUACGAAAGGGGAAGAGCCUGACAUGGUGGUGUACACACCUCUAGCCGCAGCACCCAAGAGAUUCCUUCAGCCCAGGAGUUUGUGCUUCGUGGUCACCAUGGACAACAUAGGGAAAAAAAGAAAGAAAGAAAGGAGGUGGGGAGGGGUAAUAAAUGCAGAUAAUAUAGCAAGUACAAAAAGACAAGGCUGGCUGAGUACAGUGGUACAGGCCUGUAAUCUAGCAGCUUGGAAGGCUGAGGCGGGAGGAUCAAGAGUCCAAAGCCUCAGCAACUUAGUGAGGCUGUCUCUAAAUAAAAUACAAAAAAAGGGCUGGGGGUGUGGGUCAGUGGUUAAGCACCCUGAGUUCAAUCCCCAGUACACACACACACACACACACACACACCAAAAAAAAAUAGGUGACAAAGAAUGGGAUUGUGAGGUUAUGGAUCUACCAUGACAGGCCCCACCAGGGCUCCAUAUUCAAAUGUUCAGUCUUUCAUUCCAUAGCAUGUACUGAUGUCUAUGAGUAGUAAGUUAUAGGAAUAAAGACUUGAUUAACAAUGGGCUGGGGAUACAGCUCAGUUGGUAGAGUGCUUGCCUUGCAUGCACAAGGCCCUGGGUUCAAUCCCCAGUACCCCCCCCACACACACACACACAAAAGACUUGAUUAAUAAGACUCCAAUACUUCCUAGAGAAAUCGGGGAGUGGGGGGUGGGCAGUGAGAGGAGC
RNAcentral lists this transfer RNA (6288 nucleotides) under Marmota monax (woodchuck). The stretch from base 6127 to 6199 matches the Rfam family "tRNA". The record is from RNAcentral. Lineage: Eukaryota; Metazoa; Chordata; Mammalia; Rodentia; Sciuridae.